Molecule: ribosomal RNA, 544 nt
Filed under: uncultured bacterium
Lineage: Bacteria
Description: bacterial SSU rRNA
Rfam family: Bacterial small subunit ribosomal RNA
Source: RNAcentral
UGCGNNUGGGCGAAGCCUGACGCAGCGACGCCGCGUGGGGGAUGAAGCUUCUCGGAGUGUAAACCCCUUUCGACUGGGACGAAUGCCCGCAAGGGAGUGACGGUACCAGUAGAAGAAGCCCCGGCUAACUACGUGCCAGCAGCCGCGGUAAGACGUAGGGGGCCAGCGUUGUUCGGAAUUACUGGGUGUAAAGGGUUCGUAGGCGGUGUGGCAAGUCGGGAGUGAAAUCUCUGGGCUCAACUCAGAGGCUGCUUCCGAAACUGCUGUGCUUGAGUGUGGGAGAGGCGCGUGGAAUUGCAGGUGUAGCGGUGAAAUGCGUAGAUAUCUGCAGGAACACCCGUGGCGAAAGCGGCGCGCUGGACCACAACUGACGCUGAGGAACGAAAGCUAGGGGAGCAAACAGGAUUAGAUACCCUGGUAGUCCUAGCCCUAAACGAUCAGGACUUGGGGUGCCGCCCGUUCGGGCGUCGUCCCGGAGCUAACGCGUUAAGUCCUGCACCUGGGGAGUACGGUCGCAAGACUGAAACUCAAAGGAAUUGACGGA